RNAcentral lists this ribosomal RNA (720 nucleotides) under uncultured bacterium. RNAcentral's name for it is "bacterial SSU rRNA". It matches the Rfam family "Bacterial small subunit ribosomal RNA", at positions 62 to 814 of the family's 1533-position model. The record is from RNAcentral.
UCGCACGAGAAAGUUGGAGCAUCCAUGAGUAAAGUGGCGCACGGGUGAGUAACACGUGAAUUAUCUACCUCCGAGUGGGGAAUAACUGAGAGAAAUCUUAGCUAAUACCGCAUAACACUUACGAGUCAAAGCAGCAAUGCGCUUGGAGAGGAGUUCGCGGCCGAUUAGUUAGUUGGCGGGGUAAUGGCCCACCAAGACGAUGAUCGGUAUCCGGCCUGAGAGGGCGCACGGACACACUGGAACUGAAACACGGUCCAGACUCCUACGGGAGGCAGCAGUGGGGAAUUUUGCGCAAUGGGGGAAACCCUGACGCAGCAACGCCGCGUGGAGGAUGAAAUAUCUUGGUAUGUAAACUCCUUUCGAUGAGGAAGAUUAUGACGGUACCCAUAGAAGAAGCCCCGGCUAACUUCGUGCCAGCAGCCGCGGUAAUACGAGGGGGGCAAGCGUUGUUCGGAUUUAUUGGGCGUAAAGGGUGCGUAGGCGGUUUGGCAAGUCUUAUGUGAAAUCUUCGGGCUCAACCCGAAGCCUGCAUAAGAAACUGCCGGGCUUGAGUAUGGGAGAGGUGAGUGGAAUUUCCGGUGUAGCGGUGAAAUGCGUAGAUAUCGGAAGGAACACCUGUGGCGAAAGCGGCUCACUGGACCAUAACUGACGCUGAUGCACGAAAGCUAGGGGAGCAAACAGGAUUAGAUACCCUGGUAGUCCUAGCCCUAAACGAUGAUU